UCUACGGGAGGCAGCAGUGGGGGAUAUUGCACAAUGGGGGAAACCCUGAUGCAGCGACGCCGCGUGUGGGAAGACGGUCCUCUGGAUUGUAAACCACUUUCCCCAGGGACGAAGAUGACGGUACCUGGGGAGGAAGCUCCGGCUAACUACGUGCCAGCAGCCGCGGUAAUACGUAGGGAGCGAGCGUUGUCCGGAAUUACUGGGUGAAAAGGGAGCGUAGGCGGGACUGCAAGUUGGGUGUCAAAUCUACCGGCUCAACCGGUAGCCGCACUCAAAACUGCAGUUCUUGAGUGAAGUAGAGGCAGGCGGAAUUCCUAGUGUAGCGGUGAAAUGCGUAGAUAUUAGGAGGAACACCAGUGGCGAAGGCGGCCUGCUGGGCUUUUACUGACGCUGAGGCUCGAAAGUGUGGGGAGCAAACAGGAUUAGAUACCCGGGUAGUC
RNAcentral lists this ribosomal RNA (440 nucleotides) under uncultured bacterium. Its description in RNAcentral is "partial 16S ribosomal RNA". It matches the Rfam family "Bacterial small subunit ribosomal RNA", at positions 338 to 795 of the family's 1533-position model. The record is from RNAcentral.